UCCCCUCUUCUGAUCCUUUUGACCAAAAGCAAGUGAGGACUACAUAUUAAAUGGAUUUUUUGGAACAGGGAGAUGGAAUAGGAGCUUGCUCCAUCCACUCCACGCAUCGACCUGUUAUUGCAGUACCUCCAGGAACAGUGCACCUCAC
This 148-nucleotide small nuclear RNA is filed under the name Chelydra serpentina (North American snapping turtle). RNAcentral describes it as "U2 spliceosomal RNA (ENSCSRG00000020436.1)". It matches the Rfam family "U2 spliceosomal RNA". Rfam says of the family: U2 is a small nuclear RNA (snRNA) component of the spliceosome (involved in pre-mRNA splicing). Complementary binding between U2 snRNA (in an area lying towards the 5' end but 3' to hairpin I) and the branchpoint sequence (BPS) of the intron results the bulging out of an unpaired adenosine, on the BPS, which initiates a nucleophilic attack at the intronic 5' splice site, thus starting the first of two transesterification reactions that mediate splicing. The record is from RNAcentral. Lineage: Eukaryota; Metazoa; Chordata; Testudines; Chelydridae.